UGCUUGCACUGAUUUCAACAUUGGAACGAGUGGCGAACUGGUGAGUAACACGUGGAAAACCUGCCCAGAAGCAGGGGAUAACACUUGGAAACAGGUGCUAAUACCGUAUAACAACAAAAACCGCAUGGUUUUUGUUUGAAAGGUGGCUUCGGCUAUCACUUCUGGAUGGUUCCGCGGCGCAUUAGCUAGUUGGUGAGGUAAAGGCCCACCAAGGCAAUGAUGCGUAGCCGACCUGAGAGGGUAAUCGGCCACAUUGGGACUGAGACACGGCCCAGACUCCUACGGGAGGCAGCAGUAGGGAAUCUUCCACAAUGGACGAAAGUCUGAUGGAGCAAUGCCGCGUGAGUGAAGAAGGGUUUCGGCUCGUAAAACUCUGUUGUUGAAGAAGAACGGGUGUCAGAGUAACUGUUGACAUCGUGACGGUAUUCAACCAGAAAGCCACGGCUAACUACGUGCCAGCAGCCGCGGUAAUACGUAGGUGGCAAGCGUUGUCCGGAUUU
Molecule: ribosomal RNA, 500 nt
Filed under: Levilactobacillus zymae
Lineage: Bacteria; Bacillati; Bacillota; Bacilli; Lactobacillales; Lactobacillaceae
Description: bacterial SSU rRNA
Rfam family: Bacterial small subunit ribosomal RNA
Source: RNAcentral